Molecule: non-coding RNA, 26 nt
Filed under: Mus musculus (house mouse)
Lineage: Eukaryota; Metazoa; Chordata; Mammalia; Rodentia; Muridae
Source: RNAcentral
UGUCCAUCGGCCACGGCUCCNGUUUU